This is a long non-coding RNA of Hydractinia symbiolongicarpus, 629 nucleotides long. RefSeq lists it as uncharacterized. Lineage: Eukaryota; Metazoa; Cnidaria; Hydrozoa; Anthoathecata; Hydractiniidae. The record is from RefSeq and is a predicted model, not a curated record. The transcript has 3 exons.
AGCUCGCACACGGCAACGCGUAUUUUGUUAUUGCGCGUGAUGGCACUUAUUUUAAAUCGUCGAAUUCGGCACCUAUUUCGCUUAAGACAGAUGGUGUAUGGGCAGAUAGUGAUUGUUAAGUACCUUAAAUUUGUUUUUUUGAAUGAGACUUGUUUAAACGACCAACAGUGUAUUCAGAUUUCGACGAGGGAAAUGUAAACUUGGCGCAAACAGAGGAAAGUGCAUGACGUAUCAGUCUUGGAAUGAUGGCUAUUAAUCAUGGCUAUGUGCUAGAUAUUCCAGUUAACAUUAGACACAGCUACUAAACUAAAGCACCAAAGCUAGCUAGCUACCUAGCUAUAUAUAUAUUAGCCGAAGUAGUGGACCAGAAGAUGGAGUGUGUGAUGUUGUGUUUAAUUAUUCCAUACCACUGUGUGGUUAAUAGAUAAAGGUGCUAAAAGGUGCAGUUGUUCCAUUUUCAUCUGGUCUGCAUAUUUAUACUCUGUCAAAUAUUUUGCAAGCUUUAAGAGUGUUUGUCAAAGUUUUAUAGUUACCAACUUAGUGUUUUACAGUGGUUCCUGUGGACUUUCUUUUUACAUUUCCUUAAAUUUGAAAUAUCUUUUCAGCUAUUACGUUAUUUUCUCUGGCUG